Molecule: ribosomal RNA, 253 nt
Filed under: uncultured bacterium
Lineage: Bacteria
Description: partial 16S ribosomal RNA
Rfam family: Bacterial small subunit ribosomal RNA
Source: RNAcentral
UACGAAGGGGGCGAGCGUUGUUCGGAAUUACUGGGCGUAAAGGGCGCGCAGGCGGCCGAUCAAGUCAGGCGUGAAAGCCCCGGGCUUAACCUGGGAAUUGCGCUUGGGACUGAUGGGCUUGAGUUCGGGAGAGGAGAGUGGAAUUCCCAGUGUAGAGGUGAAAUUCGUAGAUAUUGGGAAGAACACCGGUGGCGAAGGCGGCUCUCUGGACCGAUACUGACGCUGAGGCGCGAAAGCGUGGGGAGCAAACAGG